RNAcentral lists this long non-coding RNA (11706 nucleotides) under Lactuca sativa (garden lettuce). RNAcentral describes it as "long non-coding RNA (LSAT_LNC004669)". The record is from RNAcentral. Lineage: Eukaryota; Viridiplantae; Streptophyta; Magnoliopsida; Asterales; Asteraceae.
GGUAAACAACCUUAGGUGUUAGGAAACACUUGAAAUGAAGUGUUACAAUCACAUAUGAUUGAAAGAAAGGAGUUCACGGCCACACUAUACGUGUUUACGGCUAUAGAGGUGUUUACGGCCACACACAUGAAGUGUUUACGGCCAAGACUUGUUCUUAUGAAGGGUUUACGGCCACCUCAAGAUCUUAUGAAGGGUUUACGGCCACCUCAAGAUCUUAUGAAGGGUUCACGGCCAUGGAUGAAGGGUUUAUGGUCAUGAACUCUUGAAGAUCAUGCACUUGGGUGUUUGUUUCUUGGCUGGAAUCAAGUGUUUCUAAUGUAUAACAAGAUAAUAGAAGAGUUACUCAUGUUUUGGAAGUCUUUAGGGAGUUUACGGCCCAAGAACAAGUGUGUGGUCUUGGUGUUCUUGGUGUAAAGGAUGAUGACUUGAAGAUCUAAACCAAAAGUGUUGAAUUCAUGGAUGAAAUCAAAGAGUUUCAUGUGAAUAAGAAGGAUAUCAAGUGAAUAUGGUAGAAUCACUUAGGAUUUUGAAGAGAAAGGAGAGUGUUCUUGAUGAUACUUGAGAGAGUUUUGAGAAUUCUUGACUUGAAGAUGUGAGAAAUGAAGAAUAAUGACGGAACACCAUACUUAUGAUGAGGAUUUCACGGCCAUCAUGAGUUCACGGCCGUAAACCCUCGUUUGCGGCUGUGAACUCUUUAUGAAGGUGUUUCCGACUCAAUUGCAACUCAAUGAUCUCAAGUUAAUACUUUCUAACACACAAUCCUUGAGUGUACUAGGCUUAGAACUCUCAAACAGACCCUUAACAAAGCUAUAAGUUAACAGAAACAAGUCUGACUUUUGAUUGAAUUGAUUGGCUUUACAAGAUAGAAAAAUAAUGGGAUGUUACAAAAUCAACAGCCUUGGCAGCCCUCUUCAUGGCUAACUCACUAAUAAAAUCCGCAUCUCUACUAGCAGCUCCCCCAAGAAGCUUCACCCCCACUGACGGUCACCCAAUAUCAAUAGGGAAUAAACCUGUACGAAGCUUCCUACCAUCGCAUGAAGGCCAAAAUAGCUUAGUUUUCUUGAUAUUCAGCUCAAGCCCCAAUCCUAGGCCUACCACCCUAAUGAUGUCCAAUACUCUAGCCAGCUCCUCUAAAUCUCUAGUGACGGUCCCAUCAUCGAGGUACCAAGCAUGAAGAAGAAGCUUGCAAUUGUCUCUAAUUUGAUGUAUAAGUGGGUGCAGUACAAGAGCAAAAAGAAGUGGUCCCAAAGGGUCGCCUUGCUAGACCCCAGUAGUGGACCAAAUAUGCUUAUCUCCCAAAUACAACCUUGUUGCAUGUCCAUAUAAGAAUUCAACCCAUAAGGAAAUGGAAGGGCACCUAAUCCUGACCUCAUGAAGUAAGUAAGUUCAAUCCACUAAAUUUAAGGCAUUCAAGAAAUCCACAGUAAGCAUAGCAAGAGAUCCAUCAUCAUGACGUGCACUCAACGCCCUACUGACACUAUGAAUUAUAGCUUCAGCGCCACCCGACACACCUACUCCAAAUUGAAAGUCAUUAAGGUAUUGUGCCAUUUCUUUACCAACUCCGUUCAUAGCAACCUUUGAGACCAAACGCCUCCAUAUAGUGCCUAUAGCAACAAGGCGGAUUUCAUUGUCAGGUUUUAGGAGCGGAGUAAGAGGUGCAGAUGCUACAAAUUCUGCUAGACAUGACAGACAUCUUCCCCUAGCCACAGAUUAACCAUUGCGGUGUUGGCAUGUAAUAGAUCUGUAGCUAUAGCAAACCCUUCCCCACAUAGAGCGUCCAAAAUGUGUUGAGCUCUCAAGCCGUCUCUCCCACACGAAGUUCCUUUAGGAAACAAUUUAAUACAACCAAUGACAUUGUCAAUGUAUACUAUAAGGGAAGGCUCAGAAUAAAUGGUGCUCGACAUGGAUGCUUAGCCUCUAAAGCUUUGGUAGUGUCACUAUCAUGUGAAGCAACACUCAAGGAGAACAACACUUUCACUGUUGCUGUAAAAUGUCCAUCAGCAACCUUACGGAGACACUGUCUGACGUUGGUGUUGCCCUUAGUUCUACCAUCUUGAAAGUGUUCAGCUUUUUGGCCCGAUGAGCCAAGACCUACAUUGUCAGACAUAUUUUCAACUAAUGUGACAAUACUGUCCUCUUUGCCCCAUGUAGCUAAAGAAUUCAAUAUGCAAUGAUUUUGUUCCCAGACCUACGUUCUUGUCUGUUAUUAGGCAUGAACACUUGCAAAGUACAUCAGGGAAGAAGCAAUAGCCUAACCCAUGAUUCCACAUACUCAGGGUGAGCGGCCACCUUAUUAAGAGUUGUUUGCAACACUUGAUAGAAAGCCACACAACAACUAUGAGGGAUACUUUUGAUGGUCGUGAUAGGCGCCUUGAAAACACGAUCAAGCAGUUCAGCAUCUAAAGCCAUCCCUCCAAGUGCUACGGUUUCAUUCCCUAUGGAAGCUGUCUAAAGUAUCCCUUUUCUAUAAAGCAUCCAAAGCCAUCCCUCCAAUUGCUAUGGUUUCAUGCCCUAUGGAAGUUGUCUAAAGCAGCUCAACUUGAUUGCUUUCAGUCGGUUAUUUUUCUGUAAAUAUCUGCAAGUCAUUUACAAAUACUAGAUUAGCAUUUAAGUACCAAUUAGUUGAGUGUUAUAUGAAAAGUAUAAGUUCUAUCUAGUAGAUACCUGAAGUACUAGUCUCUUCCAAACUUUCUUUCUAGGUAAGAGGAACAGUUCCUCUUCUAAUGUCCAGUUUCUCCACAAAAGAAACAACAUCCAUCUAUGUGGGCCUUAUUGGAUUUCUUGGGCUUAAAAGUGUUUAUUCCAUAAAACAUUGGCCUUUUUGAUCAUUUUAGUCUUGCACUAUUCUAAUGUUAGAACAAAAUAUCACUGUAUUUAUUGGAAUAUUGUUUAACAUGUUAUAUCANNNNNNNNNNNNNNGACUUCUUGGAAAUCAGGAAUAACUAUUCCAAGUUUAAUGUUAUAAUCAUCUUUAGCAUCACAGUGAUGCCUUUACUAGGUGUCAUGUUCAGGUUUAUUGCUCAAACCAAGUUGUUUAAGACUGACCUUUAAGUGUAUACAAUUCCACAUCUCUCACGAGAUUGUCUCUCAAGACAUCAACCCAUUCAUUGAAGUUGUAUCUAUUAAAUGUUAUUAUUUCAUUAAGCCAUUAAAGAAAAUGACAAUUCAUGGUAAUGAGAAUGGAUUAUUUUUCUACAAAAUUUUAACAAAAUUCAUUUAGUAUUUUUAAUAUGUAAUCUUUAAUAAUUAAUACCAUUUUAGUUUCCAAAAACAUUAAUUAUCAAAGUCUAGGAAUCAAGUUGCAAAAUAAAUGAAUGGUUAGGUAGCCUUUAUCUCAUGCAUUUGAGUUCAACCUGAUAGAUAUCGCUUAUCAAUUAUAUCUUACUAUAUAAAUCCCAGACUUAUGGGAUCGCUAAUAACAAAUUUAAUUAGACAUGUUUGAUCCCAUCUAUGCCUCGAAACUCUCUUUCUUAGGUAUCCUUUAUCACAAAAGAUUGCCAAUCAAAUCAUCUAAUUUAAAAAAUAUGUGUAAUCAUCCUAUAACUUGGUUAUAGAUAUAGCAAAGACACCUCGGCGAUCAAAAGAUAACACUAAGCGGUUACGUGUCAUUUAUCCUACUAGUGCAUACAAGAGAUGUGCGGGUGUUCUUCAAAAUGGAAUUCAUAGAUUUGAGGUUUGUAAAGGGUCUUUUAUAUGUUUUAUAAUUCUAGUUUUAAAAACAUAUGGUGUCAUGGUUAUUACAUGCAUGUAAUAAGCCAUGGUACAAAUUUUCAAAAGAAAAACAUUUUUAAAAGUUCAAAUAUAACAUCCGGUUUUAUAUUUUGACGAGGUUCAUUUUUAACGAUAAUAUCCAAUAUUAAGUUUGAGUUUGAUCCAUAUAGAACCUUAUUUAUUACUUAAUAAAACUUCAUUUUAUUAUUAAUAUGAUGGAGUUUGAGUAAGUUAUAAAAUCACCAUUUUAGACUUAUAAUUUUACAAUUUCAAAAUUUGAUGUUAUUAACAUUUUAAUAAAACUGGUUUUUAUUUUAAAGUUAUAACUUGUUACAUCUUAUGUUCUCAUUUUCUAAAUUGAAAACCAAACUCCAUGUGAUGUUUAUUUUGUCCAAAAAAUAGUUUGAGUUUGUGAAAAGCCAAAUUAUCAACCACACAAAAUAUUUACUUGAAAAAUGAAAAAUAAACAACACAAGAAUGCAUUUAACAUAAACAAACAUUGAUCUAGUUAACACUUUUGUGAGCCAACACAAAAGUGUUAAGUCAUUCCUAAGGGAUAAAGGGACCAAAUAUAACAACUUGUUCUUCAUGUGAUCUUCAAGCUCUCACUUGCAAUGACAACCAAAUUUGUUGCAAUUUUAUAAAGAUUUUAUAAAAGUUAUGAACUUUUAUAAAAUGUUCAUAAAACCGUGGGUCUCCAUGGUUCUUCAAGAAAUGACCUCCAUCUUCAUCUUGUUACAUAUUUUAUAAAAUAAAUCUAGUCUAAAACUAAUCUAUUACAUAAAAUAACAAGAAUAAAAAGUAGCUAUUAUUAUUAGAUAUUUUAUGAAUAAAAUAAUAUCACAAACCAUUUUUAACCAAAUCACACAAACAACAACACAAAUGGUCCAAUGCUUGUUUAUGCACUAUAAAAAUACAUAUAAAAAUAAAACAACCUUUGUUUUUAUAAGACAACUUUAAGUGACAAAAAAUACAUGUAAGUUUUUGUCAUAUAAAAUAACAAGUAAGAAGUUGUCAAAGAAAAUAUUAUGAACUUAUUUUUAUGCAAAAACAAGUUAUCCAUAUUCUCCAAAAACUAAGAUUUCCAAAAAUCAUAAAUUCUAACCAAACUUGUAAUGUGUCUCUGAUACUAAUUGUUGGGUUUUUAUUCAAAAAUAGUUUCAAAAAACACAAGAUAUUGGAAUGGAAGACUUUGAUUUUGAACAACAUAAAACAAGUUUAUAACCAAUCAUGGAUCUUCUUGCAAAGUUUGGAAUUAAAACAAGCACAAAAGAAGAAGAAGAAGAAGAGUUUAACAACCUUUGUAGACUUUGGAUCCUCUAAGGGAGGCUUGGAAGUUGAUGGAGAAUGGAUGAACCUUUGAGACACCAACAAUAACUCGACUUAAUUUAAGAUGAUGGUAUUGUAAAACUCUUAAGCUUUAAGUUUAUAACCAAUGUAUGAACUUAAAGAGAGAAACAUGCAGGUGUUCUUUCAAGUGUAAAAGCAAAAACAUGAGAGAAUGAGUAUGCCAAGCAUACUCAUGGUUUUGGCAUGUAAAAAGAUCAAAAAUAAAAGUCUUUCAUGCACUCUCUUAAAUUUAAAACAAUAUACAUGAGUCCUUAACCAAUUAAGCACACAUGUCAAAAAAAGAACUUAUCCUCUAUGUCUUUAAGAAAUAGCCAUGUUUUUUAUUAAACAAAUCAAAAGGUCAUGUUUCUUUUAUUCUUUCUUAUAAAUAAAGAAGAUAAAAGUUUAUAAAUUUUGUAAACUUCUUUUAUAAAAUAUAAAGUUUGGCUUUUGGCUAAAAGACAAAAGUCUUUCUAGUCCAAAAUAAUGUACAUGACUUAAUAAAUCAUAACAUAUGAUAUAUUAUGUUACUUGCUAAUAAAAAAUUAUUAUUUCCAAGAAUUAAAUAAUUUUCAAUUAAUUAUAAGAUUUUAUUGAAUAUUUAUUAAAAUCAGUUUCUAAUAAAUAAUAAAUUAUAUCAAGUUAUUAUUAGUGUGACCCAUUAGUAUCAUAUGUUAAUUAGCAAUAUCAUUUUAAUAUGAUUCUUGAGCAUACAAGAUCUUUCAAAGAUGAUUGUGUAGCUUAAUGGAUUAAGGGAUUAAUCUAUUAAGUUUUCCAAGAUCAAUUUAUACGACGUGGCUAUAUGUUCACCACUUCGUGACAUAUGAAGUUCUCGUAACCGUUUUGUCCGGAGAUUGCCACGUCGUGGCAAAUGAUGGGUCACGACAUAGUGGCCAACAAAGUUGUCUUUUGGGGUGUUGACUUUCACCGUUGAUCAUUUACUUUUUGAACAAUUUGACUUUUGGUCAAACCUUGGUAGAAUUGAGUGUUUAUCUAAGAUCUAGUCUCGGUUUCACAUUAGGUAGCUUGUGUUAGUUGUUCUGAUUGUCGAGGUUUGUUGUUAAGCUUCUGCUAGAUAGCUCAGGUGAGUUUUCUCACUAUACUUUUUACUACAAUAUGUUUCCUUGUGUGUAGAGUGUUGGUAUGUUUUAGUGAUCUGUUUGAUUGAUAUAUCUGUUAUGAUUACUUGUAUUGCUCACUAUUAUCUAUUUAUUUGUUUAUGUGCAUAUGUCUAUAUAUUGUGGUUAGUGGGGUUGAGGCGGUCCUACUUUGUGUUGUAGGUCAAGACACUCGGGCAGUCCAGUGUAUUGUAGGCCUUGCGAGGUGGUCCAGUCAGACUGUAGGCCCAAGGGAUCAAUCUAGCUAUUGUAGGCCUUGCUAGGUGUGCCAGUAGACUAUAGGCUCGGUAGAACAGUCCAGGCAUCCUGUUAGCCUUACGAGGCAGUCCAGGCAAACUGUAGGCUCAUGUGUGCAUGCAUUGUAUGUGUAUUGUUGUAUGAGGUAUUUUGGGGGAACUCACUAAGCUUUGGCUUAUAGUUGUGGAUUCAAAUGUUUUUCAGAUACUUUUCAGAUUUUGAAGGCGGGACUGUACACACGCACAUCAAUGAUUUUAUGUUUCGAGAUUCCGUAAUGUUUUCCUUAUAACUCUAAUUUUGAAUUAUGAUUUAUGAACAAAUGGUUUGACUGUUAAUGUAACUUUAUAAAAUGGGUGUUUAUUCUAUUCCAAAAAUGAAAAAUUUUACUAUGGUUUUGGGAUGUUACACAUGUAACAUAAACACAUAACAUAUAUUAGCAUAUUACAUACCCUUGGUAAUUAGUCCUCUCUAAUUACCCUGCAAUUAACCAAUUCUUUAAUAAGUCCUUCGCUAGUCAAUUAUACAAAUCUUGGUAACUGGCCUUUCCCAGUUACCCUAACCAAACAUAACUCCUAAUAGUAUCAUACAAACAACAGGCAAGACCCUACCGGUCUAGCAUACCAUGACACCAAGUGUCCUAAACUACACAUGCAUAACAAGGAGUUAUCCUAGUAAACUAGAUAUCGUACUCUAACAAUACCUCUGUUCUACCAUGCAAAGGAUAUACAGUGGGAUACGUGGCAUAGUGAGAAACUCACCUGAACCGAAGAAUCGGAGAAGCACAACAACACUCUCAUUCCUUGCACUGACCAAUCCCACAAACCGACUAAAACCAAAUAAAGAUCAAUCCUCAAUUAAGAACUCAAUUCCUUCAAGUUUAACUUAAGGUCAAACUGGUAAAAAGUCAAUGUUCAAUGGUCAACAAAAUUCAACGGUCAACCAAGGUUAACAGCCACCUCUUAGUUGUGCAGAGUCGCGAGGCUGAACCCCACCAUGACCUGGUGACCUCUUGUCCACGUAGUGGUUAUUGCUAAAAGUCAUUCUCAUUAAGAGUUUAAUCCUUACAGAUCAAGGCUCAAACUUCCAGAUAUGAUUCUUCUUAGUAAUUUAAUAGAUAAAGUUUCCAACUUUAUCCAUUAGGACCUUACCACAAGUCAAGAUCUUAAACCCUAAGUCAAUAAGUCCUUAAUAUGACCAAAACAUGUGCAUUGAACAAAGGGGACCAUGAGUUAACACUUUUUCCAUCAUAUAAGGCCAAAAGAUGGUCACCAAACAAGCCUAAGGUUCUAGAGUUUCCUAAAACUCCAAGAACAUUCCUUUAAAGUACUUCAAGGCAUGAAAUAAGAGAAUAGAAUGAUAAACGCGGAGGCUUUAUACCUUCCCAAGUUCCAUAAGAUGCACGAGAUGCAAUAUCUAAAGUAGAUACACUCUUCCAAUUAGCAAUCACACAUUUUUCUUCUUCUCAAGGUGCAAUCCAAGGCUUCAAACGUCAAGAACUCCAAGAACACAUCAAGAACGCUCAAAUGAGGCUAGGGUUUUCGAGAUAGAAAGGUGGAUGCUGAAGAGAAUGACCUAACCCUAAAGUUAAGGUCAUUAAAUAUGAAGGAAACCCUAAAAAUUGUAGGCUUGACCUGCAUCAGUCGUUAUGUCGUGGUGUCCAUCAGGACACGUGUCACUUUAGUCUCAUUCCACGUCGUUGUCAUCAACCAACCACAUGGUGGCAUAUGUUUUUUUUCUUUCCAAAAACCACAUCUUUGUCCUCCUUAAAUCUUUUUAAUUAGUCCGAUCUCAAAAAAGGAUGUGAUAGUAGUUACUAAAAUUUUAAUACUUUAUAAGUUCCACAUUCCUAAAAGAAUUCCCAACUAGUUCAAUCGUGUGGAUUAAACCCAUGCCUAUAAAAAAUAAAUCAAGUGAGUUAACGAACUAUCAUGAAAAAAUUUCUAUCAGUUUUCUCAUGUACUAUACCUGCUGCAUUAAGUACAUACAUAAGUAGCAAGACCGACAUGCUACAACGAACACAACCAUUUACGUAAAAGCGAUGCAUGUGAACAGUGAACUCUUCACCAUAUCCCCGUUUCAAAUUAAUCCCUUUGUCCUUCAUGCUACAAAAUUUAGUAAUUAGUAUCAAGCAUUAACAUUUGUACUUCACGUAUUAAGUCUUGUAAUUGACACGUGUCGAGAUAGAAGUAUGAUGAAUGAUUUAUUUUAUCCAAGAAUGUUCAAAUGAUAGCCAUGAUACAAUCCUUAGCCUGACAACCCUCAUGGAAUCUGUGGCCAACGUAACACUCCCGUGAAUGAUUUGGGUCGCAUUUGCCUACUUUGGAGCUACUCACAUUUCCAACCAAUAUACCAACAAAAUAAUAUGAUUAUUAAAGUGGCUAGCUUCAACCCAUGCUACCAAAAUAGUGAAACUCCAAAAAUUAAAAGGUUGUUAAUGAUUAAAUAGAUAAGAUUAAAAGUUCAACCCAUGCUACGAAAAUAGUGAAACUCCAAAAAUAAAAAGGUUGUUAAUGAUCAAAUAGAUAAGAUUAAAAGAUUGAUUAACGAAAGAAUAAGUCAAAUAGUUUGAAAACCACUUGAAAAAUAUGCAAGUGCUUUAAAGACCUUAUUUUAUUGAGAAAAUAAUCAUAAUAGCCAAAAUUUCAAGGUUUUUCUACAAAAUGGCAAAAAAAUGAAAAAAAAUUCACGUAUGAAAUCAUUUUUAUUUUCCAGUUUCAAAUAUUCAUAACUUUUUCAUAUUUUAUAGAAAUUUUUUGAGCUAAAAUGUUUUUUAUUAUGCUCUUUCUAACAACUUUCUAUGGACAUAUUACAUUUUAAAUUUGGAUGUUGCAAAAUCAUAUUUUAUUAACUUCAAAGUAGACUAUUUGGUGAAAAAAAUAUUAAAAAAACAAACAAGCAAACAAAGUUAACUUUUGAUCAUUCAUAAAUUUUGCAUACAAACUUCCUUUGGAUUGAUUUUUUUUUAUUGUGUUCUUUGUAACAAAGGAUAUUCAUAAACAUAUUACACUCCUAAUUUGGAUGUAAGGAAAGUCAAAUUUUUGUAACUCCAAACUAGGUUAUUCGAUGAAAAAAUAUGAAGAUUUGUUUUAUAAAUUUCGAAUAUAGACUUCAUAACAAUCACCGGGCCAUCUCGAUCAAUCACAAUAGUGAACUGAAAAAAUCUCAAAAAAAAAUGGAGGAACCUAGAUUUUAAUAGAUGGUGUCUGCGAAAUUGUGGCCAUUAUAGUUAAUUUUAUCUGAUUUUUGCUUAUUUUGUAGAAAAAAAACUUAGGAAAUUUGGUUAUUAUGUUUUAUUUUGUUUGUUGUAAUAUAAAAAAAAAUGUUAAAUGACAGUUAAUACUAUGUCGUCUAAAUUUCAUUCAGUUUGAUCUUUUGUCGACGAAUAUGUUUUUACCAAAAAAAUAUCACUAAAUGUUUCAAGACAUAAAUGUCAACUCAAGAGACUGAAAAACUUAAAUUAAAUCCAAUAAUUCAAAAGAACAGUAGUAGAAUCUGGAAGUUAGUAACUUAGUAUCAAAUAAAGAUAAAUUAUAAUAUCUUAUUAUUUGGGUAAAUUAUAAUACAAAAAUUAUAAUUAAGCAGAAAUUAAAAAAAAAAUGAGAAAUUAAAUAUUCUCCUACUUUUUGUUCCUAUAUAUCCUCCUACACCAUAAAAUGGUGACAUGUGUAAUAAUUAAUGCUCAUUUAAUGAGAUUUAAUGAUAUUUUAGGAUAUUAAUAUAACACAUAUCAUCAUUUAAAUGGGUAGAAGGAUUGAUAGGAUAGAAAAAUAUUAUUAUCAAUAAAAAAAAUAUUAAAUAGAAAUAAACCGAAAAUAAUCAAAAUUUGUUAUCAUUAAAUAAAAAAGUCUAAAUUUCGGAACAAAUUUAAAGAUCGUGAGUUCCAAUAUUAAUUUAUGUCAAAACUGUUUCUUUUGCGGUUACGAUGUUUUUUUUACAAUAGCUGAAUAGCUCAUUCACUGCUAGUUUGGUUUGGAGUUAUACUGGUUUUUGCAUGAUUGACAUAAUGAAUCCAAACCCUCGUGAAUAAUUCCCCUAUAAAAACAACUGCUUCUUCACCAGUAGAACUUACACAAUUUCCAGAAUGUCUUCAUGGGUUUCAUUCAUGGUGGUGCUCCUUUGUUUCUCCAUUAAUGGCGUCGCGGAUGCCAGACACCGGAAACAGCUGCACUCUCCAGCCAUUGUCGUCGGAACUGUCUAUUGUGACACUUGCUUCCGUCAAAAAGUAUCCAAAUCCACCCAUUUCAUUUCAGGUUCUUGUCGUUCAUCUUGUGAUAUGUACGUAUAUUGGUUUAUCUAGGGGGUUUUUUUUGUUAAUGGGUGUUGUAUUGUUUGUUUAGGUGCGAAGGUGGCGGUGGAAUGCGGCGGCGAUGGUGGGAAGCAGAGUUUCCGGGUAGAAGUGAAGACGAACGAGAAGGGUGAGUUUGAAGCUAAACUGCCGGUUUCAGUUGGUAGAAGUGUGGAGAAAAUCAAAGGGUGUUCAGUGAGAUUGAUUAGCAGCGGCCAGCCGUACUGUGCGGUGGCUGCCACCGCCACAUCGUCGGAGAUUCGUUUUAAGUCGAAGAAGGCGGGGACUCAUGUUUUCUCAGCUGGGUUUUUCACUUUUAAGCCCGAAUUGUGUAACCAGAAAGAUACUAUCGGAAAAGGUUUUCCACCGGCGCUUCCUGAUAUUCCUGCGCCGUUCUUGCCGCCGAUCGGUGGAGGUAUUUUACCUCCUCUUCCGGUGCCGGAUGUACCCAUGCCACCUCUAAUUCCCCCGCUACCACAGCUCCCUGGUAUUCCACUUCCACCUGUUACCCGCCAAAAAUCAUCGGAAUCCGAUAGAUUGGCCGAUCAAAAAAGUUUUGGUUUCCCGUUUCCACCGCCACUGUUCCCACCGCUGCCGUUUGUGCCAUCGCCGCCGUCAUUGAUUCCUCCCGUCAUUCCAACACCACCACCGUCACUGUUCCCUCCCCUCGUUCCAUCAACACCACCAUCAUUGUUUCCUCCCCUCGUUCCAUCACCACCAUCAUCGAUGUUUCCACCAUUGCCCUUUCCACCUGUACCAGGUUUGAUUCCAUCACCGCCGCCGCCACCACCGCCGGCGUUCCCAAUUCCUCUGCCUCCACUACCUCCGCUACCUCCGCUACCUCCAGUACCUCCGGUACCAGGAGUCCCACCGGCGAAAACCUCCCCUUGAUUAAACUCGUAUAUAUUUAAUAUUAUUACUGCAUAACCUUUUGAAGUAACCUUUCCAUACAUACGCGCGUAUUACAAUUAUGGGUAUUGUAAUUGUAGCAUGAAUAAAUCGUACAUGGUAAAAUGGUUGGGAUUC